GGAUUAGAUACCCUGGUAGUCCACGCCGUAAACGAUGCACACUAGGUGGCGAUGCCUCUGACGGCGGCGCCGCCGAAGCAAAAGUACUAAGUGUGCCGCCUGGGGAGUACGGCCGCAAGGCUAAAACUCAAAGGAAUUGACGGGGGCUCACACAAGCGGUGGAGCAUGUGGCUUAAUUCGAAGCAACGCGAAGAACCUUACCCAGGUUUGACAUGCUUGGAUGUUCUUCUGGGAUAACCAGGAGCGCUGCCCUUCGGGGUGAAACUUGCACAGGUGUUGCACGGCUGUCGUCAGCUCGUGCCG
RNAcentral lists this ribosomal RNA (303 nucleotides) under uncultured bacterium. Its description in RNAcentral is "bacterial SSU rRNA". It matches the Rfam family "Bacterial small subunit ribosomal RNA", at positions 775 to 1067 of the family's 1533-position model. The record is from RNAcentral.